CACCCAAGGGAGGGGAAAAGCCAGGUUGGCUAGCAUUUCUGGGAGGAGGCGCGGCCCGCCCCGCUGGCCAAGGCAGCCGGGACGGUGGAGAGGAUUAGGAUGGAGUGGAGGCCUUCAGAUUUGGCAAGGAGGAGGGCACUUGUGACUGUGGAGAGAGAGCCGUAGGUGGAGGGAGAGGGAGGAGGGGAGGGAGCUGGGGGAAAAGUGGAGGCAGAGAUUUGGAGCAGAAAGGAGGUGGGGAGGGUGUCCCGCGGUCUGUCCCAGCCAAGCAGGGGUCAGCUUCUUGCUGCCCGUCCCCUCCCGGGGCAACGAAGUCUUCUUCUGGGCCGUUAAUUGAAUGGGAGAUAGCGCUUCUCCGCCGAGGCCUGAAAGCUCAGGUCCUCCCGUCUUCCCUUCCCCCCUCUCCCCCGAACCAGCUGGGCCGACACCUGGGACUCCCGGCCCGGCACCGGACGCCGACGACGCCCCGGUGAAUGUCACCAUCACGGUGACCGCCGCGCCCUGAGGCCCAACCGGCGCCGGCCGACCCCUCUCCCCACCACACCCCGAUUCCUCCGUCUCCCCACCCGUAGUUCGGCUCGACCUCGAAACCGAGUCCCCCCGCUGGCGUUCUGUGCUCCUCUCCUCGUCGUGGGGGUCGGGGGGGGCGGACGGCCGCCGCCCCGCGGGUCAAGCCAUCGCUUCUGUUCUGAACGGGGAACCCCCCGUGGUUGGGAGGAGGGGGCGGGGGCAACCCCGUUGGCACCCAGGGUGGAAGAAGUCUCCAGGGAGGCGGGCAGGGGGACUGGGGCUUGGAAAUCAAUAAAUAGGGGCCAGGCCACGGGGGUCAUCGCCCAGGCCUAAGGUCGUGUUGUGUUUCCGGUGGGCAUGCUUGCGUCCGCCUCCCAGGACGGGGCAGGGCCUGGGGGUGGAGCCCGAAGAGGAGGGGUCAGCAGGGGACGACCUCGCCCGCUCCGUGCCCGCAGCAGGGGCAGAGGCCCAAAGGGAGACCGCGGAGUCCCCCGGCCGAGGGAGCCUGGCCUCCCAGAGGGAGAGCUAGAGGGAGAGGGGAGAGGCCGUUUCCCCCUGCAGGGGCAGGGAAAAUAUAGCGUACUUUUCUAUACGGUACAAAAACAUGCAGCCGGAAGCCGGGGCGUUCCAAGACAACCAACCCAGGUGGAGGGAACGUGGGCGCGGGCAGGGGAGAGACCGCGGGCCUCGGGUUCGACGGCGGGGGCCGGCCGCCGGGGGAGCCCCUCGCCCGAGGGGCCCCCUGCCCUCCCCGGCCGCUCGCCCGGGAGGAGGUGCGGGCCUCCUGGGGGGAGGAGGGACUCGGGGGGGGGUGGGAGGGGACGGGCUCGGCUGCUACCAGGACGGCGCCAACCCCAACGCCGAGCCCAUCCCGGGCCCGCCGGCCCCCCGGAGGGCUCGGCCCGGGCCCCGGCCAGCCUGGGGCGGAGGGAGGGCCCGGUCCGCCGGAGGGCCCGGGCCCGGGCCGGCGGGGGGAGGGACGGGGGUGGCCGCCUCCGCCGCUCCGAGCAGGGAGGGGUCGGGCCCGCCGCGAGCAGGCUCCGGAGGGAGAGUCACCACGGCAACGAGAUUCCGCACCGAGGGCCGCGGCGCUAG
Molecule: long non-coding RNA, 1605 nt
Filed under: Ornithorhynchus anatinus (platypus)
Lineage: Eukaryota; Metazoa; Chordata; Mammalia; Monotremata; Ornithorhynchidae
Description: lncRNA (ENSOANG00000046303.1)
Source: RNAcentral